Molecule: ribosomal RNA, 478 nt
Filed under: Campanularia lennoxensis
Lineage: Eukaryota; Metazoa; Cnidaria; Hydrozoa; Leptothecata; Campanulariidae
Description: partial 16S ribosomal RNA
Rfam family: Bacterial large subunit ribosomal RNA
Source: RNAcentral
CCAAAAACAUAGCCCUAGAUAAAAUCUAAGGUGUAACCUGCCCAGUGGUUUUUAAUUAUAAAGGAUAAAACCCUCGUAAUAAAACUAAAAGGACGCGGUAACCUUGACCGUGAUAAUGUAGCAUAAUCACUCGCCAUUUAAUUGAUGGAUAGUAUGAAUGGUUGAACGAAUAUUCCACUGUCUUAAAAAGAAUCAAAUAAAAUUAAAAUAAUAGUUAAGAUGCUAUUUUAAACUGUAAGACGAAAAGACCCUAUAGAGCUUAACUAUAAUUUUCUUUUAAUUAUUAAAAAUAAUAAUUUUAAAAUUAAGAAAAUUGGUAGUUUAGUUGGGGCGACUACCUUCUAUAUAAAACGAAGGUAAGCAAAGUUAAUAAAAAACUUAUUAUAUAAAUAAAAAAUUUAAUAAUUACAAAAGUAGGCUAUAAUGACCCGUUAAUAUUUAAUAAAAAAUUUAACGAUCAAUUAAUAAAAGCUACCUU